This 460-nucleotide ribosomal RNA is filed under the name uncultured bacterium. Its description in RNAcentral is "bacterial SSU rRNA". It matches the Rfam family "Bacterial small subunit ribosomal RNA", at positions 339 to 791 of the family's 1533-position model. The record is from RNAcentral.
GUACGGGAGGCAGCAGUCGAGAAUAAUUCACAAUGGGGGCAACCCUGAUGGUGCAACGCCGCGUGGAGGAUGAAGGUCUUCGGAUUGUAAACUCCUGUCAUCCGGGAGCAAGACCUGACGGUUAACAGCCGGCAGGGUUGAUAGUACCGGAAGAGGAAGGGACGGCUAACUUCGUGCCAGCAGCCGCGGUAAUACGAAGGUCCCGAGCGUUGUUCGGAAUCACUGGGCGUAAAGGGAGCGUAGGCGGCGUGGUAAGUCAGAUGUGAAAUCCCGGGGCUCAACCCCGGAACUGCAUCCGAUACUGCCGUGCUAGAGGAUUGGAGAGGUAGCUGGAAUUCACGGUGUAGCAGUGAAAUGCGUGGAUAUCGUGAGGAACACUCGUGGCGAAAGCGAGCUACUGGACAACUCCUGACGCUGAGGCUCGAAGGCCAGGGUAGCGAAAGGGAUUAGAUACCCUGGU